Molecule: unclassified non-coding RNA, 472 nt
Filed under: Hevea brasiliensis (rubber tree)
Lineage: Eukaryota; Viridiplantae; Streptophyta; Magnoliopsida; Malpighiales; Euphorbiaceae
Source: RNAcentral
UGCAGUUCUUGCACAGAUUGCUUUGGCUGGUAAGAAGAGCAAGGCAAUCUCAAUAUUGAGCAUAAUAAUAAUAAUAAAAUAAAAUAAAAUAAAAUCUUAUCUUGCGUUAUCUCUUUAAGAAUUAUAACUUUCAUUCUCAGAAAUGAUUUCCUGUAACAUAACAAUCCAAACAACGCAGAGCUAAGAAAGGCUCUGACCAAAUAACAUAAUCAAAAUCGCUAGAUGCUUCAACCAACUCGUGAGCAAUCUUGUUAGCUUCUCAAAGAAUCCAACGAAGGGAGAAGUCCAUUCCAUGCUGGAUAUAUUAUUAUUCAGACAUUGUGAACAAAACACUAUACAGCUGACCUUAGCAAAAUGCAUAUUUUGUUGAGAAUUGUUGAUUAUACAGGCCUUAAUAAUUAAGGCAUAUUGUUUUUUUAUUUAUACAAAUGAAUUAAUGAUGAGGAUGAGUGGUCAUACUAGACUAGAUAAA